RNAcentral lists this ribosomal RNA (307 nucleotides) under uncultured Lachnospiraceae bacterium. RNAcentral's name for it is "bacterial SSU rRNA". It matches the Rfam family "Bacterial small subunit ribosomal RNA", at positions 355 to 679 of the family's 1533-position model. The record is from RNAcentral. Lineage: Bacteria; Bacillati; Bacillota; Clostridia; Lachnospirales; Lachnospiraceae.
UGAGGAAUAUUGCACAAUGGAGGAAACUCUGAUGCAGCGACGCCGCGUGAGCGAUGAAGUAUUUCGGUAUGUAAAGCUCUAUCAGCAGGGAAGAUAAUGACGGUACCUGAGUAAGAAGCUCCGGCUAAAUACGUGCCAGCAGCCGCGGUAAUACGUAUGGUGCAAGCGUUAUCCGGAUUUACUGGGUGUAAAGGGAGCGCAGGCGGUGCGGCAAGUCUGAUGUGAAAGCCCGGGGCUCAACCCCGGUACUGCAUUGGAAACUGUCGUACUAGAGUGUCGGAGGGGUAAGCGGAAUUCCCGUAGUAGU